Long non-coding RNA from Drosophila nasuta, 734 nucleotides. RefSeq lists it as uncharacterized. NCBI's taxonomy places the organism in Eukaryota, Metazoa, Arthropoda, Insecta, Diptera, Drosophilidae. The record is from RefSeq and is a predicted model, not a curated record. The transcript has 2 exons.
GGAACCUAAAGUGAAUUAGAAAAUAAUCUUUUCCAAUAGCAACAUAUCUGUGAGACACUCAAAACUCAGUAAACAAUUCUAUACACGAAUAAAAUCGCCAAAAAAAAUGUAUAAAAUGUAAAUUUAUAUCUAAGCACUAGAAAAGUAUCUGCAAAUAGUUUCAACACAUCGCCUUGUUAAUGCCAAGGUUGUCAGUCCGACAAAAAGACGGACGACUUUAAAGCGAGCUAAUGGCCAUAAACAAUAUCUACGUGCUGAUAUAGCUUUAUCACAGAUUUGAUGUGCAUGUAAUGCUAAGGAUUGCCAACUCUAUGAGUGUAUGGGAGCGGGUAAUAAAAACUGUGGCGAUUUUUCGGUGUACAAAGAACCAAAGAACGUAGUCAGAGCCCGUCUCAGAGACAACAGCAAAAUGGCAAUAAAAACCUGACGUUGCGGCGUGCAAAACAAAGACAAAGAAAAAAGAAGAAACUCAGCCAUCAGCUGUCUGUCAGCUAACAACUACUGAAUUUAUGUCUUGUCUUUUGCUUUUGUGUUGCAUGCAUGGCUUAGAGGGAAUUUUUGUGCUGCUGCUGCUCAAAAGGGAACAGGAACUGACUUAUUUGGCCAGAACGACAGGCGGAUGUGCCGCUGUUGCUGCCCUUUUUGCAUUUGCAUAAAGUUCGCUUAUGAGUUUCGUGUUGGCAGCUGCAAGCGGCAGCUGCUUAAAAGCUUUUUAAGCCAAACUAAAAAAACAA